RNAcentral lists this ribosomal RNA (457 nucleotides) under uncultured bacterium. Its description in RNAcentral is "bacterial SSU rRNA". It matches the Rfam family "Bacterial small subunit ribosomal RNA", at positions 29 to 507 of the family's 1533-position model. The record is from RNAcentral.
AUUGAACGCUGGCGGCAUGCCUUACACAUGCAAGUCGAACGGUAACGCGGGGCAACCUGGCGACGAGUGGCGAACGGGUGAGUAAUGCAUCGGAACGUACCCAGUAGUGGGGGAUAGCCCGGCGAAAGCCGGAUUAAUACCGCAUACGACCUAAGGGUGAAAGCGGGGGACCGUAAGGCCUCGCGCUAUUGGAGCGGCCGAUGUCAGAUUAGGUAGUUGGUGGGGUAAUGGCCUACCAAGCCGACGAUCCAUAGCUGGUUUGAGAGGAUGAUCAGCCACACUGGGACCGAGACACGGCCCAGACUCCUACGGGAGGCAGCAGUGGGGAAUCUUAGACAAUGAGGGCAACCCUGAUCUAGCCAUGCCGCGUGAGUGAUGAAGGCCCUAGGGUUGUAAAGCUCUUUCAGCUGGGAAGAUAAUGACGGUACCAGCAGAAGAAGCCCCGGCUAACUCCGUG